This 9772-nucleotide long non-coding RNA is filed under the name Olea europaea (common olive). Its description in RNAcentral is "long non-coding RNA (OEUR_LNC004551)". The record is from RNAcentral. Lineage: Eukaryota; Viridiplantae; Streptophyta; Magnoliopsida; Lamiales; Oleaceae.
UUCCAAGCUUAACAGUACCAAGAGAUUGUUGAAGCUUCAAGUUUUUCUUCCCCCGUAUCAAGCACAUUAUCAGUUCCAAGAACGCCCACCUCCAAAACCUCUCCCACGAUCUCGGAAACUUCCAUGACCUAUUAAUAAUACAGGAAGAAACUAUUUGAAGCAGACUUGAGAUCCAUUAAAAUUUAAAAGUUUCUUUUAAGCAUAUUUUUGCUUCUAAAUAUGGUUACUUUUGAAGUAGCUCUAUCGAUAUGAAUUACUGAUAUUCAAAAUUGACCAAUUAAAAUUUUAUUAAUUGUCAAGCUUACACAAUAGCUUAUUUAUUUUUCCAAACACGUUCUCACAAAAAGAUAGAAGAAUGUGUAUAUGCGUGUAAGGUUUACCUGGAGGAGGAGGUGCCCCACGUCCCAUGGCUGCAAGCUCAGGACUGACCUUCUGUCCAGCCUCCUCGAGGAUGCUAAUGAGUUCCUUUGCAAAUCGGGCAUUUGCAACUGUGAAAAAAGUGUAUGCUGUUCCUUUGGCACCAGCCCUUCCUGUUCGACCAAUACGAUGAACAUAAUCCUCGAGAGAUCCCGGGAAGUCAUAGUUGAUGACAUAUUUCACAUCCUUCACAUCUGCCAAGUUCAAAAACAAACUAUAUGGAAUAAAAUACUUCCUCCUGUAGUACUCCAGUUUCAAAUUUAUGUCGGUCAAGCCUUUUUUACCAAAUCUCAGAAUCAAAUUCUCCAUACAAACCUUAAAAUUCACAUUUGGCCAGUUUGAAACUAAGGUAGAAUUACACCACAGAACAAUUCGAGACACAAUGUGACUGCACAAGAGCAUCUGAUACCAUAGUAGUGCAAUCUUCCGAGAGACAGCAAAUGGGAAAAAAAAAUAACAAUGGCAGAGGAACUUUAGCUAAUGAUGCUAAGCAUCAACAGAGCAUAUCUUGCCCACUCAAUUAACAUUGAAAUACUUAUAACACCACCCAUUCAUCAUCUAAACGGUGGAAAUUUGAGUGGGUCGCAGCACAAAAAAAUGUUAUUAAGAAAAGGCAAAAUGGAGAAGAAAAAAGUUACUAGUUGCGUAACUUCUAAUUUUUAAGAGUCGGAUAAGACUUGUUUGGACUGUGCUACAUGCAGGAAAAGAAACCCCAUCAGGAAACUUUAAAUUAUAUUACUCCAUAUAAUGUUUCCCCUCUUUAGGGAAAGAGUAUCCAUAAUGGAAAGGAACAAUAGAAAGAUGAGACACUGAAAAUUAUGUUUUCUAGGGGGGAUUCUGUGGAAAUCAAUCUAAAAAUUCUAGGGUUUUUUGAGCCCCAUUUUUUGGGAAAAUAAAUUGUUAUAGUGAUUUUUUAAGAAUGUGUGGUUAAAAAGUAGGAAAAAAAUUGAAUUUACGUGUAGAAUUAUUUUAUCGGGAGAAUUGUGUGGUUGAAAAUGAGUUGGGGGAAGAAUGGGGCUCAAACCGGGGCUUAAAUUUACCAGGGAAGAAAUUAUCUAAUCUAGUACUACCUAGAUCUGUAUAUAUAUUUAACAGACAUGAAGCCAACAAAUAUUUAAAAAAAGAAGCCACUAAAGAUCAUGUAACCUUUACUUUGAGAGGCAUAGACAUACCUAGACCUCUAGCUGCAACGUCAGUUGCCGUCAUUAUGGGACUCUUGCCAGCCUUAAAUUCUGAGAGGACCCAAUCCCUUUCUGCUUGACUUUUGUCUCCAUGAAUAGAUAAUGCAGGCCAACCAUCCAUACGGAGCUGCCUAGUUACUUGAUCACAGCCCUUUUUGGUGUCCAUGAAUAUCAAAAUCCGGCUACCGUCCAUAAUGUCCUCCAACAACUUCACUAAUCUGUAUUUUUAAACAAAAUCAAUUUGAACUAUGAAUCCAACAUACAGGAUACAAAUAUUAAAGACUUCUUCCUAAAGUAUAGAAGUGCAACCAGAAAAGAGGCGUUGGCCUACUUAUUAUAUUUUUGGUUCUCAGAAACAAUUUCAACAAGCUGGCGAAUUGCAUGAUUGGCUUUUAAAUCUUCAGAACCAAUGAUCACCUGUCCCAAAAAAAUAACAUAGAAAACGAAAAUCAUCCAUAACAUAUUACUCGGUAACUUGAGAAAUUGCAUAGCAGAAAUGUUUAAAUGAGCCAACAAGCAAGGCUCAACAAUAUCAAACUCAUCUAGAUAUAUAAAAGACCAUCAGACAUUGCUUAGAGCUUCACUACAUUAUACUUCCAGCUGAGCUCAGGUUCUUCAUAGCCAAAUCUGAGCCAAGCUAGAACAAGCUGACUGAUUUACGAAUUACUCAUAUUAAAAACAUUUUUGCAUUGCUUCUUUACUUGGAGUAAAUGAUUUUUCUACUCUGCUUCGGGAAUAUCUGCAGAUGCAAAGUCGAUUUGUUGGUGUAAGAGAGGUGAGGUAUAUAUUAUACAGUUUGAUGGCUUUAGUUUUGGCAAGAGGGCUGCAUGAUUAGCAUGGAGGAGGCCGAGUGGAGAGAAGUUCAUAGCGAAAAUGGCAGGAGUACAAUGUCUUGAGGAUAUGCAAGUUUUGUUGCUUGAAGGAAUCAAAGGCUAGACUUCAACACCUGUUUUGUUGCCCAAUCUGGGAUUGUUUACACAGAUAUUCUAUUAAAGGGCAAAAACAUCCAACUCAACGGUAAUUCAAACACUAGGUUUAUGAAAUGGCAAUUUAUUCUUAAUACUAGUGUUGAACUUUGCUAAAACAAUGUGAUGCCAUUCCUGCACUGCCGAUGACUCCCUAACAACUCCAUCUAAUUUACCCAACUCCUUUCGAUCUUUUAGGAUCUGAAAGCUUAUUAUAAGCCACGAAAGGCGACUAUCUGUUUUGGGUCUCAAAACAGCUUAUAGCUUUAAAAGAAAAGGCUAGCUUCAGCUAUUUUAGGCAGUACAAAAUUGGACUAACUAGCUUAGCAAGUAGAUCUGUAAAAGUUAGAUAGCUUUAUAAUUUGUUGUGCGCGUGUGUGGGCGCGCUCAUACAUAUAACAGCAUUGCAUUCUAGUAGUCAAGCAAUAAUUAUCCAUGUCAUAUGUUACAGGGGAAGGUCAUAACUUCGUCCACGGCACAAGAAAGUCCACUUACUUUGUACGGAUUAAAAAGGAAUAGACGGGCAAGAUGUUCAACUUCCUUGGGCCAUGUGGCACUCCAAUAUAAUGUUUGGCGAUCUGGGCGAAUCUGCAGAAAUCAUGGAGCUAAAAAUCAGUUGAACACAUUAGCAUCAGGUCAUCAACAAAAUGAUGGAACAGAAAAAUAAAGAGGAAUGUGAAUUUCCACAUUAUGCUGCAUCAAUAUUCAAACAGGCAGCUUCCUAAACCAGUUCUGUGUGAAAUUCAGUACAAACCCAGCACAAAUGACGUUUCAGAAAAACCUAAUGCAGCCAAAUGGACAACAUAAUACGAUUCUCUCUGAAUUGUUCCUAACUUAAAUUAUCCAUCUUUCUUUCUGAUAAAUAAAAGGUUGUCUCAAAGUAGCUAAAUAAUCAAAUUUUUAGAGUAAGAAAUUGACAAUCAAAGAAUUAAUCAGAACGAUUAUACAAGUGAGAGAUACAACAAUGAUGCAUAAAUCAGAUAUCUUCUUAUCUGGAUCUCAUUUUAGUACCGUAUAUCUUAGUACUGAAGAAAGCAUAAAAAAAAACAUAUAUAUUCAUUAAUGCUCAAGAGCAUCGGUCUAGAACAGACCUGAUUAAUAAUUUUUCGAAUCUGAGGUUCAAAACCCAUAUCUAGCAUCCGAUCCGCCUCAUCCAACACAAGAUAUGUAACCCUUCGCAGGUUUGUAUGAUGAGACUCCAACAUAUCAAUCAGCCUCCCAGGUGUUGCAAUGACAACUUCGACACCUAGUUGGGAACCAAGAUGAUAAUGACUAAAAUGAUAACAGGAAUUACAUUUAAGAAAACAAGUAAAAGAGAAGUAGCAGAAGGAGAUACCCGAUUCAUGAACAUCACGAUACAGUAGUAAAGUCACGUUGAGCUUAUCACCACCUACCUUUCUGGAGAUCACGAACUUGGGGUCCUUUUGGGACCCCACCAUAUAUGCACGUGUUCUUAAUCCUUGACGAUGCACCAAAUUUAGUAGCUUCUUGCUGAAUCUGAACAGCAAGUUCACGAGUUGGGGCUAAAACUAAAACUAUUGGACCAUCUCCCGGAGCUAACAAAGAACACAUAAGAUUUCAUAAAUACUAUGCUAUCCAAGGGCUGAGAAAUGGUUAAAAAUAAAAAUAUAUAUUCAAAUCCACAUACACAAGCAUAAGAACAAAUAUCAUGACAUUACUGAACCCAUAAUACCUAAAAAUGGUUGAGCAUUAACAUGGACAAUUGCAGGUAAGAGAUAGGCAAGUGUCUUCCCUGACCCCGUUUCUGCAAUACCAAUAAGAUCACGGCCUUUCAAAGCCAUGGGCCAACCUUGAGCUUGAAUGGGUGUAGGUUCAGUAAAACCAGCUUUUACAAUUUCUUGCAUGACAUAAUCUGAAUUGACAACACUGAAGAGCUUUAAGAACCAAACUAAGAUGAAAAACCAAAACAACAAAUGUCAUCCAAUACGAAAUAAGAGUUUCUCGCAAAAUAAAUAAACUAACUGUUUGUAAAUGAGAGUAACUCCACGAAGAUCGACAAGGCGAGGGAAAAAAAAGGAUUAUCCAGCGAACACCAAAAGUUCAUUUUGCAUAUAUUUUCCUACCAAAAGAUCUUGACGGAGAGAGGCUUUUGAGCAUUGAUCUGAUGUGAAGUUUUAUAAAAAGAACUUGUUCAGACCACAAAAUUUAUAGCAGUUUCACUUUAUAGAUGCCUAGAAAAUAUUAAGUAAGAACAUUCUCGUGCAUGCACUGCAGCUUCACGAUUGACAUUGGCCCCCAAUAAACCAAGCAUAGGCCAAAGUUACUAUGCACAAACCCACCAGUUGAUUAUAUCUGUUCAAACAGAUCGGUGAAAAAUAAAUAAGUCAAGCAUGCUCAAAGAGAAAAUAGCAUUUCCCAUUUUGUCAUAUGUAUGGAGUAAACAUAACUUAAUGGAAACAAUGUUUGCUCAGGAAGCGGAAUCCUAAUAUAAGCUACCUCCAUUUUAAAUUCAAUAAGGUACAAAUUCAUCAGUAGGGGUUCCUUGUUAGACUUAGGUAAAUUCCAUUUUCUUAUAUGAAACUUGCUUUCUCACAGUUCCAGUCAAUAUUGCACUAGCCUAAUUGAAGCUUUGCAACAACUUUUCUUAUAUUUUGCCUUUCAUUUCUGAAGUCAUGACCUUGCUAUAGUUCAUAUAUUUUCAGUACAUAUGAAGUCAGACAGUCCGCGGAGACCCCUGAAAAGUAGUGAACAGAUAUACAUGCGCAUCCUAUCUUUAGCGUAAAUAAUUUUGAAGAAACAAACUGUUAUAGAUAAAACAAUUAGUCAACCUGUCUGAAAAUGGAUAGAGUUCAAUUUUAUCAGUAGAAAUAUAUAUAAUACAAGACAAUCUCAUUUGCAUACAAUACCAAUUAUCCACACAUUCACAAUUUUAUGCGGGAAAAGGAAACUCCGCCAGGUUAUACCUGGAAACCCAACAUCCUGAAAAGCCUUCACUGGCUUGGGUACGUCCUUUCCUUCGACAGUAAUCUCCCGUCGCCGCCUAUACUCCUCAACCUCACUCUCAGACAUUGCCGAAACUGACGGCGACUCCACGUAGAAGUUCUUCUCAAACGGAGUCAACCCAUCCAAAUCCAAUUUCCGCUGUGGCGCCUCCGAAGAGCCCUCGUAAUCUCUUUUGAUUGACGAUGAUGAAGACGAACGAUAACUUGAGCCCCCACCAAACCCCGAAUCACUGAGAUAACACGAACCAUAAAAGAAAAAUGAUAAAUAAUUUCCAUUAAGAAAAAAUUCAGACUCACUUAUUAUUUAGUAGAUAACUAGAUAUAAUAGUUGUACGUAUGGAGAUAUGGAUGUAAAUUGAGGGUUAGGGUGGGGUUUAUUACGUUCGGCGGUCGCGAUAGGAGCCGGGGUCGGCGGAGCGACUGUCGUAGCGGCUCAUGAUUUGUGGGUUCUGCAAGCAACUCUGAUUGAGAUUACGGAAAGUGAUGUAAAUUUUUGAAGAAUGGUAGAGCAGUGCUAGCGUGCUACCGUGCAUAGGCGAAUGGGGGAAAAUUGAGGGUUCGAAGUGUGGGGUGGAUAUUUCAUGGUUGGAUUUUCGCCGCAGCAAAUAAAAUUUGGUUAAAAUUAAAAAAUUAUGAAUUUAAAAAAUAUUAAUGUUAAAAUGAAUUGUUAACUUUAAAUUUAAAAAUAUUAUAAAAUAAUGAGAUAAUUAUUGAUGAUUAUUUAGAAUUAUUUUUAUACAUAGAUAAAUCUUAUCUAAUUUGGAACAUCUGUUUUAUUUCAAUUAUAAUUCUUAUUUUGAACCCCGUAAAUAUGGGGCAUUGAUUUUUAAUAAUACAUACGAAUCUAUUGACUUAUAUUCUCUAUUCUCUUCUUCCCUCUUUUACAACAUGUUAUCAGCAUGAUUCUCUAAAAAUUAUAGCAAAUUAGUCUGAAGAUAGUCUAUGUCCAUAUCAAAUUGUACUCGCUAUUUUUUCCCUUGUCGCAUACGUGUAUAAUUAAUUUUAGCAGAAUCCCAAAAUUUUGAGAAUUUCUUAUAUCGUUUGCAUCCAAUUUUUGGAGCCAAAUACCAAGCAAAAUUAGAAUUCAUUAAGGGUGUGUUUGAUUAUAUUUAUUUUUCAUGGAAAAUAUCAGUUUUCCAUCUAAAUUUCUACUUGGAGUGUUUGAUUGCUAUUUUUUUCCAUGGAAAACAUUUUCCAACUUUUGAAAAUUUUUGCUCUUCAUUAAGGUGCUCUUUUUGGACAAAGUAGAAUGACGAAAACGAGAUGUUUGGGAUUCCAACUUAACAAAUUAAAAAAAAUGGGUAAUUGGCACAAAACGUGGACCUUUAAAGUUUAUUGUGGAAAACAUCCCCAUCUUUUAUAUUUUGACAUUUUUUUCCUUUAUUUCCCCCCUUUUUUUUGAAAAAACGUCAUUUUCACUUUUUUUUAAUGUAAAAUGACUAAAAUACCCGCCCUUUUAAAUAAAACCCAAAGAAAAGAAAAGAAAAGAAAAAUAAAGAACUCCUAAACGUUUAAAAAAGUGCAAGUAAAUACAAAUAAUUAUUAAAAGGCCUAAUAGCACAAAAUGUCCCUACAUUUUAAAUUGGUGAAAUUGACUUUUUCAGCAAUGAAACGUAAAAAUAGAAAUGAAAACGCAAAAAAAUUGAAAUGUAGGGACAUUUUCCGCAAGAAGUGUCAAACGUAUGGAUUUUUUUGCUAUUAGACCAUAUUAAAAUAUUAAAAAAAAAAUCCCUCUCUCUCUCUCUUCUCUUCUUCUUCUCUCUCACUCCCCUUCUACAAAUCUUCUACGAGCUUGCAUUGUCGAUUAGGUAGUCAAUCACAGGAGAAAGCAUUUGCCUUUAAACCAAAUAAAAAACAUUAGCAUAAAUUUGGUACAUUCCUCCACAUCCAUUAUAAGUAAUAUAAAGUAAAUUAAAUAAAUAAAUCACGGAAAAAUAAAUACUUCAUGCAAGCUCUUUAUAAUGCUCUGAUGUCACUCCCAGAUUCCAAAAGUCCAAACAUUUUCUGUGAUGUAUGAACUCCUACUCCCAGACCUAAAUUUUCAACGCAAACCGUCAAAACAAAAUUGAACAAUGGGACUGCAAUUCGAACAGCUUUCACAUUCUUAUAGCAAUUUCCCUUCGAACUAGUACAAUAUUGACCCUACAAGUCUCUUAACAACUAUUGAGAUUUUGGAACACCGAUUAGUGUUCAACCGACACCCUCUCCAUUCUUCUAAUUCAGUCAUUUUUCUAUUUAUUUGCACGUCAAAAUUCACCAACAUAGGUCCCUCUUCCAAUGAACUAAUUUCUAAAUACGAAUCCCAGAAAUAAAUUUGACGGAAAAAGCAAAGACGGGGAAAACGAAAACCAAACCCCAGAAGAGAUAUUGAUUCCUGAGUAGCCCAGUAAAAAUUGGAACGUUGGUCAAAUGCAACCAAUGUAACAAACACACGAGAUUCAACAUUCAAAGACGCCAUUUACCUACAAAUACAAGAAACAUAAACAUAUACACAGAAAGACAGCGAAACAAACCUCCAACGGUUAAAUUGACAGCCAACAGAAGUGGCCAGAUGAACUUAUAGCGGCGGGCAAAUGUAGCUUUAGGCGGCUAAGGUGGCGGCGGAGGAGGAGGAGGAGGAGUUAUCGACGACGCCAUCGAUGAUGGUGCAGAUGCCUGUUGUUGCUGAUAUCGCUUCAGCUGUGCUGUUAAUCGUUCCGUAAUGGAAAAACCAAAAAUUGAACAAAUAAUUUGAAAUUAAAAGCUACAAGAAAAGGGGAUUGAUUCUUUUUGUUCCGUAAAAGCUACUAAAAAUAUAUAUACCUUUCUUGGGUUUGUUAGUGUGAAGCUUCGGCUCUUCGCUCAUUGUUGAAAAACCUCUGCUAAUUUUUUUUCUUCUCUCUAGGUAUUGGGGACCGGAAAUUGCUUACAAAUUUUCAGAUGAAUCCAUCAAUGGAUAGUUUUCUUCAUUUCUUUUUCAUUUCAUAGGGUUCUUGGGAAAAAACUCUUGGGGGCGAUGAACAAGCAACUGAUUAGAAAGCUACUAAAAAUAUAUAUACCUUUCUUGGGUUUGUUAGUGUGAAGCUUCGGCUCUUCGCUCAUUGUUGAAAAACCUCUGCUAAUUUUUUUUCUUCUCUCUAGGUAUUGGGGACCGGAAAUUGCUUACAAAUUUUCAGAUGAAUCCAUCAAUGGAUAGUUUUCUUCAUUUCUUUUUCAUUUCAUAGGGUUCUUGGGAAAAAACUCUUGGGGGCGAUGAACAAGCAACUGAUUACGACGUCGCAUUUACCGGACGCAUUUCGUUAUAUUGCCUCAUUGGUCUCCUUUGCUGGACGGUGAUUGAUGCCUAGCCUUGGCGUUGUUACGUGCUUUGUAAAUUAAGACCAUGUUUGGCAACAAAUGUUUUUUUUUUUUUUUUUUUUGGUUGGUUAAAAAGAGGAAUAAUCUAUCAUCAACCUCUUUUUUAGCAUCAGAUCUCCCAACCUCUGACUUAACUGCAAAUCACAUCCUUCCAUCCAUUUUUAUAGUUAAGUCCACGUAAUGCAAAGAAUAGAAGAGGAAGAAAACAACUAAUAAAAAAGGUAAAAUUACAGUUGGAGACACCUUUUUUUUUUUUCCCCCUUCAAAUAUUACAAAUAUAAGCUGAAUAAGAAUUAACUGAAGGCUCUCAAACUUUCAUUUAACUUCUUAAAGAAAUAAGAAGCCCCAUGAAGUAUUAUCAUUUUAUCUCCUUGGUUCAUGCCAAAACACUCCCAUAUAAUGUAUUUUUAUGAAAUAUUGUUCAAUCUUAUUCAACGUGUCGUACCAAAUCAUUUUAAAAGAGGCUUUCUUGCGCUAAUCAACAUUUCAUAAAAGAGAACUGUCCAUUUAGUUGGAAGGCCGAAAAUUUUUGUUUCACCUUUCAGCUUCCUGAUCGAUCUUCCUCGACAACUAUCUGAUUUCACUGAAAGACGAAGGAAAAACGCCGAAAAAUGUGUAGAAAAUAUAGCACAAUCUCACAUGAAUGUCAAGGAAAGUAAUAACUUGAAAUGUGUUCACAUUCUACUUUAUAUUCAAAAUAGUCCUCAAAAAUAUUACAUGUGGGAGACUAGUAACAUUUCAAUACUAUUUUCCUUCCAAGCUUAACAGUACCAAGAGAUUGUUGGAGACUAGUAACAUUUCAAUACUAUUUUCCUUCCAAGCUUAACAGUACCAAGAGAUUGUUGAAGCUUCAAGUUUUUCUUCCCCCGUAUCAAGCACAUUAUCAGUUCCAAGAACGCCCACCUCCAAA